UACGUAGGGUGCGAGCGUUGUCCGGAAUCAUUGGGCGUAAAGGGCGCGUAGGUGGCCCCUCAAGCGUGCGGUGAAAGUCAGGGGCUCAACCCCUGAUCGGCCGUGCGAACUGGGGAGCUUGAGCACUGUAGAGGCAGGCGGAAUUCCGGGUGUAGCGGUGGAAUGCGUAGAGAUCCGGAGGAAGACCGGUGGCGAAGGCGGUCUGCUGGGCAGUUUCUGACACUGAGGCGCGACAGCGUGGGGAGCAAACAGG
RNAcentral lists this ribosomal RNA (253 nucleotides) under uncultured bacterium. Its description in RNAcentral is "partial 16S ribosomal RNA". It matches the Rfam family "Bacterial small subunit ribosomal RNA", at positions 524 to 776 of the family's 1533-position model. The record is from RNAcentral.